RNAcentral lists this ribosomal RNA (228 nucleotides) under Triticum aestivum (bread wheat). Its description in RNAcentral is "partial small subunit ribosomal RNA". The record is from RNAcentral. Lineage: Eukaryota; Viridiplantae; Streptophyta; Magnoliopsida; Poales; Poaceae.
AUGGACCAAUCCAUCCCUUUUUCCCGUGCAUAUGCAUCGGACUCGGAUGACGAUGGUCCUGAUGAAGAAGUUGAUGAGGAGGGGUUCACGCCGAAGGAGGCCGAAGCAUUCAAGAAGGUAUUCGGGCGGGAUCACAAGACAUCAUUGUUCAAGGAUCUUAGUCUCGCGGAUGAAACCAUUGUGGAUGGUGGAAAAUGCAUAUCUCUUGGAGCUAGGCCAAGUUCUCAC